GAAAUGAAGUAUACAAAGAAUUGCCAGAUUUUAGCUGAUUUUAGGAAAUUAAGUUCAAUCAACAUGAAGCAUACAUGGCAUAAUCAUAUUAAAGUCCAUUUACAUGUAGACAUAUACUGCAAAAUAUUCUCAGUUUAUGAUAAAUAUGAUCAAUUCCUUAUUUUUUUAUAUUUCAACAUUGUUGAACUACAAAUGUACCAGGACUAAAUUGAUGUUUAUGUAGAAAAUGUUAUGCUGUCUUGAGUUUUUAUAUAUUUUUUGUAUAUAUACUCGGAUUAAAUGCAAGUAUGAGUGUGUUUAAUUGAUGUUUAUGUAGAUUUUGAUUUAAUAUAUUGUUGAAAACCAUAAAUCAUAAUUGUUUUAACCAAUUUUUUUAGUCAAAGGUAGGGGGACACCAAACCAGACAACGUAUAAGUUUUGGAAGGAAACAUAUCAACACAAAAGAGGGGUGGGGGUCUACAUCAAGGAGCUGCUGGUAAGGGUAACUUUUUAUGGAAUGUCAAAGCGGUUCAAUAUUGUUUAUUUAACAAUGGAUAGAAGUCAAGAAUCUUGACUCAAUGGGUCAAAUAGUAUGAAUGAUCCCAUGAAAUUAACAUUUAAAGAUGAUGUCAUGAUAGCUGGCCAUGGGAAAUAUAAAUUGGUUGUAAUUUUCUCAGAAAUCCCAAUUUAAUUUGCUUAUAGUUAUGCUCUUGCAAACCAGUUCUCAUAUAAAUAUAAAAUGAUAAACAGUUUAUUAUUAGGUUUGUGUUACCAUGGUUACAGAACGUCUUAAGAGUUACAUGUACAAAUGUGUUAUAAAAUCAUUCAUUAUAAACAGUUAGACAACGGAAUAUUUUUUUGUAGAACAUUGUCAGAAUCAUUG
This 862-nucleotide long non-coding RNA is filed under the name Mytilus galloprovincialis (Mediterranean mussel). The record is from RNAcentral. Lineage: Eukaryota; Metazoa; Mollusca; Bivalvia; Mytilida; Mytilidae.